CCUACGGGAGGCAGCAGUGAGGAAUAUUGGUCAAUGGGCUUACGGCUGAACCAGCCAAGUCGCGUGAGGGAAGACUGCCCUAUGGGUUGUAAACCUCUUUUGUCAGGGAGCAAUUGGCGCUACGUGUAGCGUUAUCGAGAUUACCUGAAAAAAAAGCAUCGGCUAACUCCGUGCCAGCAGACGCGGUAAUACGGAGGAUGCGAGCGUUAUCCGGAUUUCUUGGGUUUAAAGGGUGCGUAGGCGGAAUGCCAAGUCAGCGGUAAAAUGGCGGGGCUCAACCUCGUACUGCCGUUGAAACUGGCUGUCUUGAGUGGGCGAGAAGUAUGCGGAAUGCGUGGUGUAGCGGUGAAAUGCAUAGAUAUCACGCAGAACUCCGAUUGCGAAGGCAGCAUACCGGCGCCCAACUGACGCUGAAGCACGAAAGCGUGGGUAUCGAACAGGAUUAGAUACCCCAGUAGUC
This 460-nucleotide ribosomal RNA is filed under the name uncultured bacterium. Its description in RNAcentral is "partial 16S ribosomal RNA". It matches the Rfam family "Bacterial small subunit ribosomal RNA", at positions 338 to 795 of the family's 1533-position model. The record is from RNAcentral.